GACAGAGGUGGCAAGCGUUGUUCGGAAUUACUGGGCUUAAAGGGCGCGUAGGCGGUGGAGUAAGUCCGGGGUGGAAGGCUGAGGCUUAACCUCAGGAUUGCCCUGGAAACUGCAUCACUUGAGUCAGCAAGGGGAUGGCGGAAUUCCUGGUGUAGCGGUGAAAUGCGUAGAUAUCAGGAGGAAGGCCGGUGGCGAAGGCGGCCAUCUGGUGCUGAACUGACGCUGAGGCGCGAAAGCGUGGGGAGCAAAC
This 250-nucleotide ribosomal RNA is filed under the name uncultured bacterium. RNAcentral's name for it is "partial 16S ribosomal RNA". It matches the Rfam family "Bacterial small subunit ribosomal RNA", at positions 524 to 773 of the family's 1533-position model. The record is from RNAcentral.